GGCCGCAGGGCGCGCGCACGGCGCGGACGGCCUCCCCGCGAGGGGGCGCGCGCGUCGUCACAUGACCUCGGGCCGGCGCUGGGGGUCACGUGAGCUCCGCAACAGUUUAAAGGUGCCCGGCACCUUCCUGCUUUGGCUUCGGGCGUGCGCUCUGUGCGUAACUGCGAGUGCCUUGGUGCGCCUUCCUCGCGUCUGACGACGGGCGGGUCCCAUCCUGCCAGAGCGGGAGGACGCUGACGCAGGGGGAAGGAACAGGUGUACAGAGCCGUGCCCGGAAGCGCCUACCGGGUUCCUGCGGGGCCGGACCUGCUGGAGGCCACGCGCCUCACGUCGUCCCGGGGCUCCCGCGCCGCGCGGCCUAUGGAGACCUCGGGCUUGCGGACGUCAGAGCGGCGCUGUCAUGGGUGGGGUUUCGGGCUGCCCGGUGGCGCCUGGCGUGGAAGUCCGGGCGACGAUGAUAGCGUCCCGGGGCCGAACCUCAGAGCCUCCCGUGUGCGACUGGGGGUCCCCAGGGGGCGCGGUUUCCGCGCGUCCCGGCCCUCAGCCGGCGACGCUGGAGCAGAAGAGCUCGCUCGUCCCGCCUCCGGAAGCAAAGCUAGAGUUUGAUCACCUCCGCGUGGCAAGUCCCGCCCCGCGCAGGUGGCUGAGCACCAGAUGUUUUGCAAAGCUGAACAGUGUAACUUCCUGCAGCGUUCCCAGCUGGUUCCUUCAUGACAACCCCGCAGACGUCUUCUCAGCAAAGAAAGAUCAGCAAACCUUUAUACCAGUGAACAAACCUGGCGCUAAUAUGCCAAGCUUUCUGUUCUGAAACGGAUUUCCGCGUUUUAAAAAUAUCUUACCAGGUCCGCUUAUCACAUAAGCGCUCUCCUAAGAGGGGAGCAUCGUGAAGACAGAUGCUUAUAGUUACGUGAGCCGAAGCUAAUGCGUUUAUUAAAGCCACCAGAUCUUCACACACACACGUGAUUGAACCCAGGGCUUUUUAAGUUUUUGAGGCAAGGUUUUACUAAAUUGCCACAAGCUGGGCUCUUGGGGUCCUGCUUCCACUUUGCAGAGUGCUGGGAUUACAGGCAUGUUUUACCAUGCCCCUCUGAACCACCGUGAUCUUCAGUGGUUAGCCUCUGAACAAUCUGUGGUCCUUCAAACUCAGCCUCUCUAAUAGCUGGGAUUACAGGCAUGAGCCACUGUACUCAGAUUAAAACCUUUUUGAACAUUUAGUAUGUUAAUUUUUUGUAUAUAUUUUACAUCGACAUUCUCAUCUACCUUUUGACAGAUACAGGUUGAUUUAAUGCAGGUUGAUUUAAUUUGAUAAGGUGUAAAAUUUAGGAGCCUUUACUUUCGUUUUCCCACAGUACUUGUGUUGGUGUAGGAAAGGGCAAAUUUUGAAGGUAAGACCAAAAAUAAUUAGAAAGGAAACAGCACUUUUCCCUAUUUCAGUUUAUUAAUCUUUGAAGAGUUUCAGCAACUGAGCCAAGUGUGGUGAUGGUGCAUGCAGGUAAUCCAAACCCUUGGGCUAGUUCUGGUGGCCCACACCUGUGAUCCCAGUGCUGGGGCAGGCUGAGGCAGGAGGAUUACCUUGAAUUCAAGGCCAGCCGGAUCUCCAUACUCCAUAGUGAGAUCCUGUCUCAAAGACCCAAACAAACAAGGGAAAGAAGGGGGACAAGAAACAAUUACGGUGUAUUAUGUACAUGUACCAACGCCCCUUGAUAAAUGUCAUGUACUGAAUACGUGCACUAAUAAAGAAUUUUUAAAAGGCAAAGUCCAAGCACUUGAGGGACUGAGACAGAAGGAUCAUGAAUUUCUGGUCAACCUGAGCUACACAGUAGGACUGAUACCAGGUAGCUUGCUUCUAAAAGGUGGCUCACCAACUAAACAUUACCUGUUUGGGGUUGCUUCCUCUCCGAAGCUGGGCUCCACGUUCUUCUCUUGAAUAAAGAUUUGAACAAAACGAGCAAAAAAGUGCUAAUAUCUAUUUGAGAAAGUCAAAG
This 1985-nucleotide long non-coding RNA is filed under the name Chinchilla lanigera (long-tailed chinchilla). Its description in RNAcentral is "lncRNA (ENSCLAG00000025969.1)". Lineage: Eukaryota; Metazoa; Chordata; Mammalia; Rodentia; Chinchillidae. The record is from RNAcentral.